RNAcentral lists this ribosomal RNA (435 nucleotides) under uncultured Lachnospiraceae bacterium. RNAcentral describes it as "partial 16S ribosomal RNA". It matches the Rfam family "Bacterial small subunit ribosomal RNA", at positions 341 to 792 of the family's 1533-position model. The record is from RNAcentral. Lineage: Bacteria; Bacillati; Bacillota; Clostridia; Lachnospirales; Lachnospiraceae.
ACGGGAGGCAGCAGUGGGGAAUAUUGCACAAUGGGCGAAGGCCCGAUGCAGCGACGCCGCGUGAGUGAAGAAGUAUUUCGGUAUGUAAAGCUCUAUCAGCAGGGAAGAAAAAUGGCGGUACCUGACUAAGAAGCACCGGCUAAAUACGUGCCAGCAGCCGCGGUAAUACGUAUGGUGCAAGCGUUAUCCGGAUUUACUGGGUGUAAAGGGAGCGCAGGCGGUACGGCAAGUCUGAUGUGAAAGCCCGGGGCUCAACCCCGGUACUGCAUUGGAAACUGUCGAACUAGAGUGUCGGAGGGGUAAGUGGAAUUCCUAGUGUAGCGGUGAAAUGCGUAGAUAUUAGGAGGAACACCAGUGGCGAAGGCGGCUUACUGGACGAUAACUAACGUUGAGGCUCGAAAGCGUGGGGAGCAAACAGGAUUAGAUACCCUGGUA